CCUACGGGUGGCUGCAGUGGGGAAUAUUGGGCAAUGGGCGCAAGCCUGACCCAGCAACGCCGCGUGAAGGAAGAAGGCUUUCGGGUUGUAAACUUCUUUUCUCAGGGACGAAGCAAGUGACGGUACCUGAGGAAUAAGCCACGGCUAACUACGUGCUAGUAGCCGCGGUAAUACGUAGGUGGCAAGCGUUAUCCGGAUUUACUGGGUGUAAAGGGCGUGUAGGCGGGACUGCAAGUCAGAUGUGAAAACCACGGGCUCAACCUGGGGCCUGCAUUUGAAACUGUAGUUCUUGAGUACUGGAGAGGCAGACGGAAUGUAUAGUGUAGCGGUGAAAUGCAUAGAGAUUAGGCAGAACACCAGUGGCGAAGGCAGUCUACUGGACAACGACUGACGCUGAGGCGCGAAAGCGUGGGGAGCAAACAGGAUUAGAUACCCGUGUAGUC
RNAcentral lists this ribosomal RNA (443 nucleotides) under uncultured bacterium. RNAcentral describes it as "partial 16S ribosomal RNA". It matches the Rfam family "Bacterial small subunit ribosomal RNA", at positions 338 to 795 of the family's 1533-position model. The record is from RNAcentral.